RNAcentral lists this long non-coding RNA (266 nucleotides) under Brassica napus (rape). RNAcentral's name for it is "long non-coding RNA (BNAP_LNC022856)". The record is from RNAcentral. Lineage: Eukaryota; Viridiplantae; Streptophyta; Magnoliopsida; Brassicales; Brassicaceae.
AUCAUAUGUAAAAUAGUAUAAAAAUAAAUAAGAGCUUUUAUUGAUGAAAAUAACAUCUUUGAACUAGACAUGAUCCUAACAUUUGUGAAACAUUCGGAUGAAAUUAAAUUUAUAUUACAAACAAUCAUAUAUAAAGAAAAUAAUAUAGAGAAACGUAAAGAAUAGAACACUAUAUCUAAUAAUAUAGUAAUCUUACAUAAAUAACCGCAAUAAAGAAUACAUACUAUACUAUAAUUCCGCCGAAUAUAGUAUAGUCUUCAACUUCA